AAUAUUGUGAUGAAUUUUGGUGUUCCGAUCUUUUUCAAGAUCGGAAUGAAAAGGGAAUCCGGUGGUUCAGUAAAAUGAAAAUUCCGGAGCUGUACCCGCAGCUGUAAGUCCAUUUUCCUGUUCAAACGGGAAUGUUUUGAGAAACUCUUGCCACUGUUCCGAUGCCUCGGGAUGGGAAGGCCUCAAAACAGGAUAAGCCAGAAGACCUGCCAGAUUCAUUUUUAUCAU
This 228-nucleotide non-coding RNA is filed under the name Geofilum rubicundum. The record is from RNAcentral. Lineage: Bacteria; Pseudomonadati; Bacteroidota; Bacteroidia; Marinilabiliales; Marinilabiliaceae. RNAcentral also lists the same sequence under 1 other name.